AGGAGAGCCGUAAUGAUUAAUAGGGACAGUUGGGGGCAUCCGUAUUCAGCUGUCAGAGGUGAAAUUCUUGGAUUUACUGAAGACGAACUACUGCGAAAGCAUUUGCCAAAGAUGUUUUCAUUAAUCAGUGAACGAAAGUUAGGGGAUCGAAGACGAUCAGAUACCGUCGUAGUCUUAACCAUAAACUAUGCCGACUAGGGAUCGGGCGAUGUUAUUGUAUUGACUCGCUCGGCACCUUUCGAGAAAUCAAAGUGUUUGGGUUCUGGGGGGAGUAUGGUCGCAAGGCUGAAACUUAAAGAAAUUGACGGAAGGGCACCACCAGGAGUGGAGCCUGCGGCUUAAUUUGACUCAACACGGGGAAACUCACCAGGUCCAGAUACACGUAGGAUUGACAGAUUGAGAGCUCUUUCUUGAUUGUGUAGUUGGUGGUGCAUGGCCGUUCUUAGUUGGUGGAGUGAUUUGUCUGCUUAAUUGCGAUAACGAACGAGACCUUCAUCGUUAACUAGCCCGGCUCGCCUUGGCGGGUCGCCGGCUUCUUAGCGAGACUUUUGGCUUAAGCCAAAGGAUGUUGGAGGCAAUAACAGGUCUGUGAUGCCCUUAGAUGUUCUGGGCUGCACGCGCGCUACACUGACAGAGGCAACGAGUUUCGUUCCUUGGCCGGAAGGCCUGGGUGAUCGUGUAGUUUC
RNAcentral lists this ribosomal RNA (686 nucleotides) under uncultured fungus. Its description in RNAcentral is "SSU rRNA". It matches the Rfam family "Eukaryotic small subunit ribosomal RNA", at positions 853 to 1562 of the family's 1831-position model. Lineage: Eukaryota; Fungi. The record is from RNAcentral.